This 696-nucleotide ribosomal RNA is filed under the name uncultured bacterium. Its description in RNAcentral is "bacterial SSU rRNA". It matches the Rfam family "Bacterial small subunit ribosomal RNA", at positions 32 to 715 of the family's 1533-position model. The record is from RNAcentral.
AACGCUAGCUACAGGCUUAACACAUGCAAGUCGAGGGGAAACGAUAUUGGAAGCUUGCUUCCGAUAGGCGUCGACCGGCGCACGGGUGAGUAACGCGUAUCCAACCUGCCCAUCACUUGGGAAUAACCUUGCGAAAGUAAGACUAAUGCCCAAUGACAUUUAUAGAAGGCAUCUGAAAUGAAUUAAAGAUUUAUCGGUGAUGGAUGGGGAUGCGUCUGAUUAGCUUGUUGGCGGGGUAACGGCCCACCAAGGCGACGAUCAGUAGGGGUUCUGAGAGGAAGGUCCCCCACAUUGGAACUGAGACACGGUCCAAACUCCUACGGGAGGCAGCAGUGAGGAAUAUUGGUCAAUGGGCGAGAGCCUGAACCAGCCAAGUAGCGUGCAGGAUGGCGGCCCUAUGGGUUGUAAACUGCUUUUAUAGGGGAAUAAAGUGAGCCACGUGUGGUUUUUUGUAUGUACCCUAUGAAUAAGGACCGGCUAAUUCCGUGCCAGCAGCCGCGGUAAUACGGAAGGUCCGGGCGUUAUCCGGAUUUAUUGGGUUUAAAGGGAGCGUAGGCCGGAGAUUAAGCGUGUUGUGAAAUGUAGAUGCUUAACAUCUGAACUGCAGCGCGAACUGGUUUCCUUGAGUACGCAUAAAGUGGGCGGAAUUCGUGGUGUAGCGGUGAAAUGCUUAGAUAUCACGAAGAACUCCGAUUG